UACGUAGGGGGCAAGCGUUGUCCGGAAUCAUUGGGCGUAAAGAGCGUGUAGGCGGCUUGGCAAGUCUGACGUGAAAGCCCGCGGCUCAACCGCGGUAGGUCGUUGGAAACUGCCUGGCUAGAGUCCGGAAGAGGAGAGCGGAAUUCCUGGUGUAGCGGUGGAAUGCGCAGAUAUCAGGAAGAACACCCGUGGCGAAGGCGGCUCUCUGGGACGGUACUGACGCUGAGACGCGAAAGCGUGGGGAGCGAACAGG
RNAcentral lists this ribosomal RNA (253 nucleotides) under uncultured bacterium. RNAcentral's name for it is "partial 16S ribosomal RNA". It matches the Rfam family "Bacterial small subunit ribosomal RNA", at positions 524 to 776 of the family's 1533-position model. The record is from RNAcentral.